This 253-nucleotide ribosomal RNA is filed under the name uncultured bacterium. RNAcentral's name for it is "partial 16S ribosomal RNA". It matches the Rfam family "Bacterial small subunit ribosomal RNA", at positions 524 to 776 of the family's 1533-position model. The record is from RNAcentral.
UACGUAGGGUGCAAGCGUUGUCCGGAAUUAUUGGGCGUAAAGAGCUUGUAGGCGGUUUGUCGCGUCUGCUGUGAAAUUUCGGGGCUCAACCCCGAACUUGCAGUGGGUACGGGCAGACUAGAGUGUGGUAGGGGAGACUGGAAUUCCUGGUGUAGCGGUGAAAUGCGCAGAUAUCAGGAAGAACACCGAUGGCGAAGGCAGUUCUCUGGGACGGUACUGACGCUGAGACGCGAAAGCGUGGGGAGCGAACAGG